ACUGUUCAGUCCUUUCAGAGACACUGACACACAGUACAAUGAUGAUGUUGUCACUGAUUCUACUGGGGACCCUGGGGCUCCUUGUUCAGGAAUCUUCAGCAGAUAUAAUCCUGACCCAGUCUCCUAAAUCUCAGUCUGUUAGUCCAGGAGAGACUGUGUCCAUCAGCUGUUCAACCAGUGCAAGUGUUAGUUCUUAUCUCAACUGGUACCUACAAAAACCUGGAGAAUCUCCUAAACUUCUAGUUUAUUAUGCUACAAACCGUCAGCAAGGGAUUCCAGAUCGUUUCAGUGGGAGUGGAUCUGGUUCUCAAUUCACUCUGACCAUCAGUGGAAUCCAGGGUGAAGAUACAGGAGAUUAUUACUGUCAGCAGUCUGCCAACUAUCCGGUCACUUUUGGUGGAGGCACCAGACUGGACAUCGGACGUGAUGUCCGUCCCACCCUGACAGUCCUUCCCCCCUCCAGUGUGGAGCUGCAGCAGGGAAAGGCCACUCUCAUGUGUCUGGCUAACAAGGGCUUCCCCUCAGGCUGGAGUCUGAACUGGAAGGUAGAUGGAGUCAGCACCACCCGGGAGGUGACAGGGAGCCCCGGGGUCCUGGACAAGAAUGGCCUCUACAGCUGGAGCAGCACGCUGACCCUCCCUGUGGACCAGUGGAGGAAGGUGGGCUCUGUGACCUGUGAGGCCAACCAGGGCUCCCAGGCUCCUCUCUCUGAGACACUGAGGAGAGAACAGUGUUCUGAAUGAGCUCCUCCUCUGAAUCCUUCAUCCAGCUGCAUGGAGCUUUUAGCACUUGGCCUUUUCAUACCAUGUUUUAAUGUAAUUGCUUCUUGGCUGUGGUAACAAUACAUUUAUAAAGGUUUUUGCAAUCAUAACUUUAGAUAUCAAUGUUGAAUAAAAAUAGAAAUAAGACUUCUUUA
Molecule: non-coding RNA, 916 nt
Organism: Esox lucius (northern pike)
Lineage: Eukaryota; Metazoa; Chordata; Actinopteri; Esociformes; Esocidae
Source: the annotation of a RefSeq genome assembly